Molecule: ribosomal RNA, 407 nt
Filed under: uncultured bacterium
Lineage: Bacteria
Description: partial 16S ribosomal RNA
Rfam family: Bacterial small subunit ribosomal RNA
Source: RNAcentral
AUUGAACGCUGGCGGCAGGCCUAACACAUGCAAGUCGAGCGGAGCGGCGGACGGGUGAGUAAUGCCUAGGAAUCUGCCUGGUAGUGGGGGAUAACGUCCGGAAACGGGCGCUAAUACCGCAUACUAUCAGAUGAGCCUAGGGCGGAUUAGCUAGUUGGUGGGGUAAAGGCCUACCAAGGCGACGAUCCGUAACUGGUCUGAGAGGAUGAGCAGUCACACUGGAACUGAGACACGGUCCAAACUCCGCCGGUGGUAAGCAGUGGGGAAGUUUGGACAAUGGGCGAAAGCCUGCUCCAGCCAUGCCGCGUGUGUGAAGAAGGUCUUCGGAUUGUAAAGCACUUUAAUUUUGGAGGCGUUACCAACAGAAUAAGCACCGGCUAACUUCGUGCCAGCCGCCGCGGUAAUUC